This 1453-nucleotide long non-coding RNA is filed under the name Triticum aestivum (bread wheat). RNAcentral describes it as "long non-coding RNA (TAES_LNC011173)". The record is from RNAcentral. Lineage: Eukaryota; Viridiplantae; Streptophyta; Magnoliopsida; Poales; Poaceae.
UCCCACGUGUCUUCCUUCGAGAAAGGGCCGAUGGGUUUUGCGGAGAACCAUUCUGAAAAUGCUAUUGUACCGAUGCUUGGGACAAGUUUUGACUCGCUGGGAGAGACGUAUGAUUUCUACAACCUCCUUGGAGACAGGAUCUGCAAAUAAGAUAUGGGAAGAGGAGGUUGAAUGUGGAGAGAAUGAAAUGUGUACAAAAUUUGUGUGUGGACGUUCUGUAAGUCAGACUAUAUAUACAUCUUUUACUGUUCAAUGGUUAAUUUUUUAGUACGCUUAUCUCAUCACAACAACAUGACCACAUUUCAGGGUUCGUGUUGAGACAGUUUGAACAUGAGGUCUUGUUGGUAUGAGUGCCCUCGCGCUGGUGUUUUCGUUGGUGGUGAGAUAGUUUGAAAGCUUUGAGUGGGUGUUUUCUGAUUUAUAAUAUGAUGGGUGGCACGGUACCCAGGACUAAAGCACCAGGUAAUGCAUAGGUUGAUUGGUAAUGUUUUGUAUUGAUUUCUUAAUAGGUGGUGAUUUGUAGGAAGCGGUUGUUCUGGUCACGAGCACAGGUGAGCGUGGUAUUUGGGCGGCUCGAUAUGUCAUGGGGGUGCGUUGCAUUGAAUUCCUUUGCCAUCUAGUGUCUUUGUUGUUUUAUCUUCUUUCUUUCAUCACCCAAGUAAUUUUCUUUUGUGCUCAAGCAUUCCCUGUUUUCGGAGGCUAAACAUGUUGUGGCUUAAUGAUUACGCCGCUGAAAUCCUUCGAGAACAUGCUCUAACUAUCACUUGUCAUUCAUGCUUGUUAAUUUAGAUUUUCACUAUUAAUCGUAGCUCUUGAUAUGUAGAUGUAAGCUCGCAUUGUUUAAUCUCCCCUCGUUUGUUGAGUUCUGUUAUAUGUUUAAAUUGCAGGAAACAUGUUGGAAGGUGACAAGAAUAAAAGCAAUGAGCCACUUCUCACCUGAUGUGUUUAGUCUUUCGUUUUGGUAUUUUGGAACUUCUCGGAAUCAGGCUCUCCUCAGCUCAUGAUUUCAGGCUUUCAUUUUGUGAUUUUAUGACUCAUCGGUGUUCUUAAUUACUACCUCAUAAGUUCAAUUGGCUAAUACGGUUGGCAUGAACAUAGAUUGUUGCUAAAUUUCAGAGAUGCACUGUCAGUUCAGCUUUUUGUGAUUGCGGAACUGGUCGAAAUAGUUUUAUUUAGCUAGUUUUAAAAAAAGUUUUAUUUAGCUCAUAGUUUUUCUACAGAGAAAUGACCAUGUUUAUGACCAAGAAAUGGUCGAUUCAACAUUUUGGAUAUUGCAGUUCUUUUUUUUGGAUAUUUUCUUCUGCAGUUUACCUAUGAUCUUUUUCUGCCAAAUUGUAUUCAGUUUUCCUCUCCCAGCGGCAAGUUCAGCAGUUACCCCUCAUAUCCAAACAGGGAAUGUAAAAUGUUUACCAGUGUAUGAUUUUACAACAGUAUCUAUUCGGGCCAAGGAAAU